AGCGAACGCUGGCGGCAGGCCUAACACAUGCAAGUCGAACGGACCUUUCGGGGUUAGUGGCGGACGGGUGAGUAAUACGUGGGAACGUGCCUUUAGGUUCGGAAUAGCUCCUGGAAACGGGUGGUAAUGCCGAAUGUGCCCUUCGGGGGAAAGAUUUAUCGCCUUUAGAGCGGCCCGCGUCUGAUUAGCUAGUUGGUUGAGGUAACGGCUCACCAAGGCGACGAUCAGUAGCUGGUCUGAGAGGAUGGCCAGCCACAUUGGGACUGAGACACGGCCCAAACUCCUACGGGAGGCAGCAGUGGGGAAUCUUGCGCAAUGGGCGAAAGCCUGACGCAGCCAUGCCGCGUGAAUGAUGAAGGUCUUAGGAUUGUGAAAUUCUUUCACCGGGGACGAUAAUGACGGUACCCGGAGAAGAAGCCCCGGCUAACUUCGUG
This 434-nucleotide ribosomal RNA is filed under the name uncultured bacterium. RNAcentral describes it as "partial 16S ribosomal RNA". It matches the Rfam family "Bacterial small subunit ribosomal RNA", at positions 29 to 507 of the family's 1533-position model. The record is from RNAcentral.